Molecule: non-coding RNA, 363 nt
Organism: Sebastes umbrosus (honeycomb rockfish)
Lineage: Eukaryota; Metazoa; Chordata; Actinopteri; Perciformes; Sebastidae
Source: the annotation of a RefSeq genome assembly
AUGUCUUCCCCUGUGCACACAUUUGGUUUUCUCUUCAUCUGGUUAUCAUGUCAGGUGAGCGCUGUUACAUUUGACCAAUCUCCUCCCCAGAUAGUGAAGGAGAGCACUGAGGUCCAGAUUAAGUGCAGCCACGAGGACACUUCCCUCGUAGUAAUGCUCUGGUACCAGCAAAGAAAGGUCCAGGACAGUCUGUCUAUGACCCUCAUUGGGUAUGGAUAUGAAAACAGCCCCCAAACCCAUGAGGAUCAGUUUAAAGAACAGUUCAACCUGACAAGAGAAAACACAGUGAGAGGAGCUCUGAUUAUACGCAAAGCAGACCUGUCGCACUCGGCUGUGUAUUUCUGCGCUGCCAGUACACAGUGA